UGCAGUCGAGCGGACAGAUGGGAGCUUGCUCCCUGAUGUUAGCGGCGGACGGGUGAGUAACACGUGGGUAACCUGCCUGUAAGACUGGGAUAACUCCGGGAAACCGGGGCUAAUACCGGAUGCUUGAUUGAACCGCAUGGUUCAAUUAUAAAAGGUGGCUUUUAGCUACCACUUACAGAUGGACCCGCGGCGCAUUAGCUAGUUGGUGAGGUAACGGCUCACCAAGGCAACGAUGCGUAGCCGACCUGAGAGGGUGAUCGGCCACACUGGGACUGAGACACGGCCCAGACUCCUACGGGAGGCAGCAGUAGGGAAUCUUCCGCAAUGGACGAAAGUCUGACGGAGCAACGCCGCGUGAGUGAUGAAGGUUUUCGGAUCGUAAAACUCUGUUGUUAGGGAAGAACAAGUACCGUUCGAAUAGGGCGGUACCUUGACGGUACCUAACCAGAAAGCCACGGCUAACUACGUGCCAGCAGCCGCGGUAAUACGUAGGUGGCAAGCGUUGUCCGGAAUUAUUGGGCGUAAAGCGCGCGCAGGCGGUUUCUUAAGUCUGAUGUGAAAGCCCCCGGCUCAACCGGGGAGGGUCAUUGGAAACUGGGGAACUUGAGUGCAGAAGAGGAGAGUGGAAUUCCACGUGUAGCGGUGAAAUGCGUAGAGAUGUGGAGGAACACCAGUGGCGAAGGCGACUCUCUGGUCUGUAACUGACGCUGAGGCGCGAAAGCGUGGGGAGCGAACAGGAUUAGAUACCCUGGUAGUCCACGCCGUAAACGAUGAGUGCUAAGUGUUAGAGGGUUUCCGCCCUUUAGUGCUGCAGCAAACGCAUAAGCACUC
Molecule: ribosomal RNA, 831 nt
Filed under: Bacillus licheniformis
Lineage: Bacteria; Bacillati; Bacillota; Bacilli; Caryophanales; Bacillaceae
Description: bacterial SSU rRNA
Rfam family: Bacterial small subunit ribosomal RNA
Source: RNAcentral